This 489-nucleotide ribosomal RNA is filed under the name uncultured bacterium. RNAcentral's name for it is "partial 16S ribosomal RNA". It matches the Rfam family "Bacterial small subunit ribosomal RNA", at positions 29 to 506 of the family's 1533-position model. The record is from RNAcentral.
AUUGAACGCUGGCGGCAUGCCUUACACAUGCAAGUCGAACGGCAUCGCGGGAAAGCUUGCUUUCCUGGCGGCGAGUGGCGCACGGGUGAGUAACACAUCGGAACGUACCGGCUAGUGGGGGAUAACCCGUCGAAAGACGGGCUAAUACCGCAUACGCUCUUCGGAGGAAAGCAGGGGACCUUUGGGCCUUGCGCUAGCCGAGCGGCCGAUGUCCGAUUAGCUAGUUGGUGGGGUAAAGGCCUACCAAGGCGACGAUCGGUAGCGGGUCUGAGAGGACGAUCCGCCACACUGGGACUGAGACACGGCCCAGACUCCUACGGGAGGCAGCAGUGGGGAAUCUUGGACAAUGGGGGCAACCCUGAUCCAGCAAGGCCGCGUGGGUGAAGAAGGCCUUCGGGUUGUAAAGCCCUUUCGGCAGGGAAGAAAUCGGCGGGGCGAAUAACCCUGCUGGAUGACGGUACCUGCAGAAGAAGCACCGGCUAACUACGU